Molecule: transfer RNA, 74 nt
Filed under: Candidatus Cloacimonadota bacterium
Lineage: Bacteria; Pseudomonadati; Candidatus Cloacimonadota
Description: tRNA-Cys
Rfam family: tRNA
About the family: Transfer RNA (tRNA) molecules are approximately 80 nucleotides in length.
Source: RNAcentral
GGCGACAUGGCCAAGUGGUAAGGCAAGGGUCUGCAAAAUCCUCAUCCUCGGUUCAAAUCCGAGUGUCGCCUCCA